Molecule: ribosomal RNA, 547 nt
Filed under: uncultured Glomeromycotina
Lineage: Eukaryota; Fungi; Glomeromycota
Description: SSU rRNA
Rfam family: Eukaryotic small subunit ribosomal RNA
Source: RNAcentral
UUGGAGGGCAAGUCUGGUGCCAGCAGCCGCGGUAAUUCCAGCUCCAAUAGCGUAUAUUAAAGUUGUUGCAGUUAAAAAGCUCGUAGUUGAAUUUCGGGGCCAGUUGGUUGGUCGUGCCUAUGGUAUGCACUGGCCUACUGGUUCCUCCUUCUUGAAGAACCGUAAUGUCAUUAAUUUGGUGUUGCGGGAAACAGGACUGUUACUUUGAAAAAAUUAGAGUGCUUAAAGCAGGCUAACGCUUGAAUACAUUAGCAUGGAAUAAUGAAAUAGGACGUUUGAUCUUAUUUUGUUGGUUUCUAGGAUUGACGUAAUGAUUAAUAGGGAUAGUUGGGGGCAUUAGUAUUCAAUUGUCAGAGGUGAAAUUCUUGGAUUUAUUGAAGACUAACUACUGCGAAAGCAUUUGCCAAGGAUGUUUUCAUUAAUCAAGAACGAAAGUUAGGGGAUCGAAGACGAUCAGAUACCGUCGUAGUCUUAACCAUAAACUAUGCCGACUAGGGAUCGGAUGAUGUUAAUUUUUUAAUGACUCAUUCGGCGCCUUACGGGAAAC